CUCUAGAUUAGAGUUUGAUCCUGGCUCAGGACGAACGCUGGCGGCGUGCCUAAUACAUGCAGUCGAGCGAUGAUUAAAGAUAGCUUGCUAUUUUUAUGAAGAGCGGCGAACGGGUGAGUAACGCGUGGGAAAUCUGCCGAGUAGCGGGGGACAACGUUUGGAAACGAACGCUAAUACCGCAUAACAAUGAGAAUCGCAUGAUUCUUAUUUGAAAGAGGCAAUUGCUUCACUACUUGAUGAUCCCGCGUUGUAUUAGCUAGUUGGUAGUGUAAAGGACUACCAAGGCGAUGAUACAUAGCCGACCUGAGAGGGUGAUCGGCCACACUGGGACUGAGACACGGCCCAGACUCCUACGGGAGGCAGCAGUAGGGAAUCUUCGGCAAUGGGGGCAACCCUGACCGAGCAACGCCGCGUGAGUGAAGAAGGUUUUCGGAUCGUAAAACUCUGUUGUUAGAGAAGAACGUUAAGUAGAGUGGAAAAUUACUUAAGUGACGGCAUCUAACCAGAAAGGGACGGCUAACUACGUGCCAGCAGCCGCGGUAAUACGUAGGUCCCAAGCGUUGUCCGGAUUUAUUGGGCGUAAAGCGAGCGCAGGUGGUUUCUUAAGUCUGAUGUAAAAGGCAGUUCAACCAUUGUGCAUUGGAAAACUAGACUUUGAGUAGGAGAGGGAGAGUGGGAAUUUCCA
RNAcentral lists this ribosomal RNA (685 nucleotides) under uncultured bacterium. Its description in RNAcentral is "bacterial SSU rRNA". It matches the Rfam family "Bacterial small subunit ribosomal RNA", at positions 1 to 672 of the family's 1533-position model. The record is from RNAcentral.